Homo sapiens (human) is the source of this 319-nucleotide long non-coding RNA. Lineage: Eukaryota; Metazoa; Chordata; Mammalia; Primates; Hominidae. The record is from Ensembl.
ACAGAGGGAAAUAAGCAGAGGUCCAGAAACAGGGCUACCCACCAAUCGCGUGGUGACAGAGGAGAGAGGGUCCUAAGGACAGAUGAGGAUGUUCUUGAUUUUGUACUCCAAGUAAAUGUAUUUAAGAAUGGUUACCCCAACCUCUGAGAAAUCUGAAAGUGGCAGCUGGAAAUGCCAGGAGAACACAUGGCAACACUGAAUUGACAGAGUUCAAACACCAAAGGGGCAUUUGAGAACUGGAGCUGCCCGAUGGCAAGAGGGCACUUGUAUCAGAAGCUUCACUGCACAGGCCUACAAUAAAUGGUGCCUUGACAUCAAA